CCUACGGGUGGCAGCAGUGGGGAAUAUUGCACAAUGGGCGCAAGCCUGAUGCAGCCAUGCCGCGUGUGUGAAGAGGGCCUUCGGGUUGUAAAGCACUUUCAGCGGGGAGGAAGGCGGUGAGGUUAAUAACCUCAUCGAUUGACGUUACCCGCAGAAGAAGCACCGGCUAACUCCGUGCCAGCAGCCGCGGUAAUACGGAGGGUGCAAGCGUUAAUCGGAAUUACUGGGCGUAAAGCGCACGCAGGCGGUCUGUCAGGUCGGAUGUGAAAUCCCCGGGCUCAACCUGGGAACUGCAUUCGAAACUGGCAGGCUAGAGUCUUGUAGAGGGGGGUAGAAUUCCAGGUGUAGCGGUGAAAUGCGUAGAGAUCUGGAGGAAUACCGGUGGCGAAGGCGGCCCCCUGGACAAAGACUGACGCUCAGGUGCGAAAGCGUGGGGAGCAAACAGGAUUAGAUACCCUUGUAGUC
This 465-nucleotide ribosomal RNA is filed under the name uncultured Klebsiella sp. RNAcentral's name for it is "bacterial SSU rRNA". It matches the Rfam family "Bacterial small subunit ribosomal RNA", at positions 338 to 795 of the family's 1533-position model. The record is from RNAcentral. Lineage: Bacteria; Pseudomonadati; Pseudomonadota; Gammaproteobacteria; Enterobacterales; Enterobacteriaceae.